Long non-coding RNA from Manis javanica (Malayan pangolin), 4937 nucleotides. RefSeq lists it as uncharacterized. NCBI's taxonomy places the organism in Eukaryota, Metazoa, Chordata, Mammalia, Pholidota, Manidae. The record is from RefSeq and is a predicted model, not a curated record.
GCUCAAUACAGACAUGUCGAAAGCUGUUAAUUAAAAACGGAAGCCCCUCUUUUCUAAAACACACACCAAAAACACCCGAAGGAUUAGUUGUUUGGGAAGAGCAUCCUAUUAGGUUGUAAGAAAAUCUGCAACAGUUUGGACUCUUUUAUUUUUCACCAAGUGCACUGCGUGCUAGUAGCUUACAGGCAAAACUCAGGCUUCUCGGAGAUUUACCUGCUUUUUGAUGUGAGAUUUAAGAGGUCUGAUCAGCUGGAUGGAAAGUCUGUCGCUGUCUCAACGUGUGCUUCUCUGGGCUGCUAAUCACCUCUGGGUUAUCUUCCUGUCCGCAGAUUAGCAGCUCUCCGGGUGGGAAUGAAGCAAAAUGUUUUGGAGCGAGUCCUCCAUCUAUUGAAAGUCCUCCUUUUUCAGAUUUUACUGUAUCAUGACUAACCUCAGGUGUGGGUCAGUAGUCCAGACUUGAAGCAAGAUGAACUGGCCUGCGCUGUGAACCACACAGACACCUUCUGUCCUCCUGCUUAUGGCUUAGAUGGCUGCUGGUCAGAGUGUUUACAACAGCACCUUUGAGUGCUCAUCUAAGAAAAAAGUGUUUAUUGAUUCAAACAAAAGCACGUAGCAUAGUCUCUUCUUGGCGAUUUCACGGUGCCUGGUGCAGAUGAGGGACUCAGUCAUCUUGCAGUGAAGAUCCUUCCCCUCUUUGCAUAACUCAGCCAUUCUCAAACUUAUUUAGGCAGAGGGUAUUUCUUUUCACAUAACAUCACUCCCCCCAGAGGACUUGUGGUCUGAGGAACUGACAUUCCAAAUCACUUGUCUGCCCUGUGCAUUUUUGUAUUUUACCCCUUCCUACCUGGCCUUCUAAGGGAUGGGUGUGUGUGUGUGUGUGUGUGUGUGUCCCCUUCCUACCUGGCCUUCUAAGGGAUGGGGUGUGUGUGUGUGUGUGUGUGUGUGUGUGUGUGUGUGUGUGUCCCCUUCCUACCUGGCCUUCUAAGGGAUGGGCCGUGUGUGUGUGUCCUGGGUGGCUGGGGGAAAGGUUGGGGGUCUUUACUGAACCAACUAUCUCUGAAAAGAGGAAUUCAGAACACAUGGAUUAAGGGGGGAGGGGAAUAUAAAAAACAAUGAAUCUCCCCAGACUAGGGAACUCCAAAUGACUCAGCAUUCACGAAGUGCAUAGUCAGGCACUGUUUUAAGUGCUUUAUAAUCAUGAGAACGUUUAGACCUCACGCCAGCUCAGCGACGGUAAGAAACUCGCUCUGUCAGGUGGGCUGAGCUCCUGCUGGCUGGUUCUAGAACCAUCCCCCUAACCAUUACGUCUGAUGGCCCCCGCACUCUCCAGGAAGGGACAAGCGCCAGGGAUACCACAUUUCCCCCGGCGUGGAGAUCUGAGUCCGUCACUGCGGCCCCCAGGGAAGCCCCGGUGAGCAGCACCCCCCUGGGUCCGAAUGGCUCCUCUGCACUGGCUGGCCAUGCGGCUUUGGAAUGUGACUAAACCUCUCUCUGCAUCGGGUGAUUUUCACAUGUAAAAUAUAAGAAAACAAAGGAAGUAUAUACUUGGUGACGGGGCUGAGGGGAGUGCUCAGUAUGUGCUUGCUGUUGCUCGGUUGGCGCUAGACUCACAAGCCUUCGCCCCUUCACCCCGUCUGUCCUUUGCCAUCUUCCACACCUCGGGCCUUCAGAAAUUUGAAGAGCGGAAACACAGCCGCCUUCUUUCAGGCUAGACAUUGUGGGUUCUUUAGCUGUGUCCCCGGACGCUGGCCUCCAGCCUGCCUUCCCUUCUGCUCACGUCUCUAACAGCUCUUCUGCCAACGGGUGGCAUUUUGAUCUCUCUUUCCUAAAUACAUUGUAAAAAGAGUUUUCUUUUUCUUACAGCCCUUGAAAGGUUGACGUUUAGUUUAUGGAAGUUGAAACGGUCAGUACCACUAAAAACUAAAAUGUUAAACCUAAAGCAGAAUUUUAUUUGGAAAAGUUUGUUUCUUUUUGGAUCUGUUUUCUCUCCCUCCACAAACACUUCAGUGCACCCCCUUAGUGCUAAGACGGACCAGUUACACGGUCAUGAGCUGAAUGGGUGAUUGUAUGAAUUUUUCUUUUCUGUCACUCUCAUACUGUUUUCUGGUGGAAGAAGGGAUUUUUAAGGAGGAAUAGUCCAGAUGCUCUCCAGAUUCCCUCCUAAUCUUCAUAUUCCAUGAUUUGGGGUUUCUGCAGUUUUGUUCAAAGUACACAUAUACUGAAGUCCUCCUCAUUCUGAUGUAGUCAAUUCACUAGACAUUUUUAGAGGAAAUUACAUUUGUAACUAUAGUGUGUGUGGGUGUAUCUGUAUUUCCCAUUUCCUUUUUCCCUCUCAGAAAUUGCUUCUUCAAAGGGUGAUUAGAUUGGUUUUAAAGUGGUUCAUCUAUUCAUGCUGCUUAUUUUCCCACUGGACAUGUUAAUGCCCUCUCUGCAUUGUCAGAUGACCCUUUGGUUAGUUCCACCAGGUGUAAACACGUGUUUCCAGUGAGGGAAUUCCAAGGAGGAGCCUCCCAUAGUCCAGAAAACCGCUAAGCAUCUCGGGAAGUCAGUAGCUCUUUGGAACUCUCAGCACAAGUGAGUGUGAAGGCUCAGCUUGGUCCAUCAGCUCCCUUGACGGCAUGGGAUUUUAUAAAUAGAUAAGCAAGAACAGAGAAUGCAAAGCUGUGUGGAGAAGCACACUCUGGCUUCAUUCAUCAACUAAAAGGCCCUCCCUUGAACAUCAGCCUUGCAUGAAGGCUACUUUGGAUGCUCCCUGAAAGUCGGAGAGCGCCCCCUAGUGCUUUUGCAGCUCCUCCCAGCUCGUUAAGAGAGGGCUGUGUGCAUCACGGUUGUAUGACACGUGCUUCUGCUCAAUUUUAUUUUUUCUCAUUUGAGUUUAUGCGGCACCGUGCACUUCGCUUCUCCGUCUGGAACUGGAUGUAAUCAGCUCAGUGCCUGUCUGGAUUCCCAAGGGGCCUCUGGAUUCCUUGAGGCCGAUUAUCACACUUAUUUCUGGACUUCCAGCAUCGAUCGCUUUACUGAAAACAGAAAGGUUCUCAAUAAGCGGAACGGAAUGAUACGGCAUUGUUCGGUGAUACGUGGACCUGACGGAAGGGCAGACACACCUGCUCAAGGGCCUGAACACUUUUUUAAAACUGUUGUUUAAGCGUCGUAGCUUAGCGUUAAGAGCUCCGAGCUCAGCUUCUGAAGCCACACUGCUUUAGUUUCAGUCCUGUUCCACCACUUGCCGGCCACUGAUCUAGGCAAGCUACUUAACUUCUCUGUGCUGCAUUUUCCUAAUCUGUAAAACGGAGUAAUGAUAGUCUCCAUUUCACAGGGUUGUUUUGCGGAAGUAAAUGAGUUAAUACAGGUUAACUUUUCACAGUACCUGCACCCAGCAGGCUCUCAGUAGUUACGAGUUAUUAUUACCAGAAGGCUUCCUCCUUUUAGUAAAUUAAACCACAGAAUUAAAGGCCUGAAAACAGGAAUUUUCCUUUUACUGGGUUUAGGUCGACAACACGGAAAUAAGUCUGAGACAAUCCCUCUGCGUGGGGGUGGCGGUGGGGGGACAGAAAUGGCUGCUGAGACGGAGGAUGCCCUCGCUGUGAGCCCUUCCUGACGAGAGUGCCCCACCUCCCUCCUCACAACCAACAACGAUGUCUGCUCCUGCAGAGCAACGCUAAGGUUGGAACUUAGGGUCGUGUCUGGAGGAAAAGUGAGAAUUGGAGAAGUAACAGUCUUUAAUAUUUUAUACCAUAUUGUUUUCCUAGAAAGGUAGUACAACCACCUUUAUCCCGACAGAGCUGCAGUGUGGUCAGGGAGGGCUCUCUCGCCCUGGCUCUCGCUUUCUCCUCUCUCCCUCCUUCUCCAUGCAUGUAUCUAUGCACAUCUACCCUUACAGUAUGUACCUGGGCUGAUAAAUACAGUCACUGGAGGACAAGUAAAAUUGGACCUUUAAUAGUAAAAUAUGAAACUGAAGGCCUUCUCGUGUUAUUGUGGGGUUACAGCUCAAUGCCACAUUGUGGAGGGAGAUUUUAUUUAAUGCUUAAACUCAAUGCCUUAAAAAGCCAAGACAUUAGUUGGAUGUCUGCAAACACCUGUAACAAUGAAUAAAUGUGAAAUGAUAUUUUACAGAUGCAUCCAAAUACUUCCUGGUGCUUGCAAAGACAUUAUGUUACCUGACUCUUGGGAAAACACUGUUACAGAGUGACAAUUAAUCUCACUCUGUUUAGAGCAGUCAUAUGACCAGCCAAGGCGACAGGGUGGCAAAGUAGGAUGCAGACCCACACCUUCUGCAGGAGAUCAAUGAUCCUGUCACUGUCCUAACUGCCUGUCUUCAAAUUUUUAAGAAAACACAAAUUUCAAGUUUAUUUCUGCAAAUCUAAGCAAAAUGUGGGACCUUCAUUCCUGGCCAGAACACGGAAAGACUGACCUGGACUGGAAGUGGCCCAUGAAAAACAUGAAGCAUGUAUUUCAAAUAACUAAUUUUAAUUUAUCCUUUGACAUUAAUACUUUCAAUACUAAUCAAGAUGAGUCCUUUUACUCAAAUUAUAUAUUUGACAUAAAGCCCCUGGGAAUUGAAAGGCUGCACUUAUUUUGCUGGAACCCCUUUUCACUAUUGUCCUUUCAGUGGGGGGAGGGUUAGCAGCGGAACUGCAGGUAUUGGGGCCGCAGCUGUACCUUCCUGAUAUUUGAGGACUGCGGAACCCGAGACCCACAGCAUUUCUGCCCUGGAGGCACAUGCAUAUUUGCAGAGUGGAAUUACUGUCCAUGGCAAUGCUUUAAAGAUGGAGUCAACCAUUCCUUUGGGAAAAGAAAAACAACUCAAAGGGUAAUUAAUAGAUCUGAUGGAAGUGCAGCGUGAAAGCCCACAAAGGACAAAGGGGAGAACACUUUCCUGAUUUUGAGAGUGUCUAUGGCAAGAUUUCUUCUAGAGCCACUGAAAAGUUUCCAGGCUC